AGAGAGUCUAUAUUAUUAGAGAUUAGAGAAAAGAUACAAAAAUACAUGUAGAGGAGGAGGAUUACAUCCACUCUACUCAACUCAUCAACUCUCUUGCUGCACUUGCAGCUGCUGCAAUGGCAGCAAGGCUGCUGCCAUUGCAGCUCACUUUCUCUCCACUCUCUUGCACACACUCACGUUCUCUCUCUAUUUUGCUCUCAAAUAAUUGCCUCUUUUAUAGGCAAACAUGGCAACCUUCUCCAGCACUCUUGUCAAAUAAGGUGGGACAAGCAAGCCUUAAAGUAUGCCACCAUUUGUGGCAUUAAUGGAGCAACCACUUGCUUAGUGGUGGG
RNAcentral lists this long non-coding RNA (332 nucleotides) under Populus trichocarpa (black cottonwood). RNAcentral's name for it is "long non-coding RNA (PTRI_LNC002607)". Lineage: Eukaryota; Viridiplantae; Streptophyta; Magnoliopsida; Malpighiales; Salicaceae. The record is from RNAcentral.